AAGGAGAAAAAUGGAUAAGAACAUAAAAGUAUCUUUAAAUUUCUAAAGACAUAAUCAAACAAAGAUGAUUGCAGGAGCAUAUUUACUACUCAACUUGGCCAAUUUGAUGUCAAUAGAAAUGCAUGAGAUCCUUAUUCAGCAUUCACACCUGAGAAAUGCUUUUGGUCUACUCCCUAAGGCAAAAAACAAAACAAAGCAAAACAAAACAGAAGUUUCUGAAGGACAGCAGAAAUGGGAAGUUCUUUCCAUGAUGCAAGACACUAAAUGGAAAGUGACCUUCUUUUGGGAGAUACACCUAGGUAGCCUAAUCAUGUGAAACCACUGAUAGUAGCAACAGAUGAAGAUGCUGGAAGGGGAAACUGA
Molecule: long non-coding RNA, 363 nt
Organism: Cebus imitator (Panamanian white-faced capuchin)
Lineage: Eukaryota; Metazoa; Chordata; Mammalia; Primates; Cebidae
Exons: 3
Source: RefSeq, a predicted model, not a curated record